This 631-nucleotide long non-coding RNA is filed under the name Cricetulus griseus (Chinese hamster). RNAcentral's name for it is "lncRNA (ENSCGRG00015031372.1)". Lineage: Eukaryota; Metazoa; Chordata; Mammalia; Rodentia; Cricetidae. The record is from RNAcentral.
AGCGCCAGUGCAGGCAUCCGGCGGUUUGGCUGUGUGAACCAGAUGGUUUACAUUUGAAAAUGUUCUGUUUCAAGGCUGGUUUGAGCUGGCUCUUCAAGCAGAAAAGUCCCGCCUGGUAGAAGAGACAUCUGCACAAACUCCUGGUGUUGUGCCCAGAUUUCGGAACCCCAAAAGAACCCAUCAACAAGGAGACGACUCACCGAAUGCAAGGACAAAGGUUUCUUUAUUGACUCGAGGAUACAAGCUGCAGCAAGGACCCCAUUCGUUUGGGAACAAAUGGAGCCCCCACUUUCGACUGAGGGGUGUUUUAUAAGAGAAAAUUGUAGGGCUGGAAGCCCCAAGAUUACAGAACUUCGUGGUUACACAGGACAGGGCAAUGGUUGUAUGCUUCAGGCAAGGUACAAUUAAGAAGGAUGCUGCAGAGGAAAUGAGUUUGUUAAUUAUCUCCUGGGCUGGGGACUUCUACAAUUGAUAACUAUCUGAUUCUCUUUGGACCAGAGGAAUGUCGACACCACUCUAGGGUCUGGUCUAAGGGCUUGAGUCCUGUGGACCUUUGUUUAACCUUGUCUGCUGAGUUGCCUUUUGGGAACUCAGAGUUUUCUAUUUGGGCUUUGGAGUCUGGGUUUUAGAC